GCAGUCGAGCGAGCUGAAUUCAAAGAUCCCUUCGGGAUGAUUUGUUGGACGCUAGCGGCGGAUGGGUGAGUAACACGUGGGCAAUCUGCCCUAAAGACUGGGAUACCACUUGGAAACAGGUGCUAAUACCGGAUAACAACAUGAAUCGCAUGAUUCAAGUUUGAAAGGCGGCGCAAGCUGUCACUUUAGGAUGAGCCCGCGGCGCAUUAGCUAGUUGGUGGGGUAAAGGCCUACCAAGGCAAUGAUGCGUAGCCGAGUUGAGAGACUGAUCGGCCACAUUGGGACUGAGACACGGCCCAAACUCCUACGGGAGGCAGCAGUAGGGAAUCUUCCACAAUGGACGCAAGUCUGAUGGAGCAACGCCGCGUGAGUGAAGAAGGUCUUCGGAUCGUAAAGCUCUGUUGUUGGUGAAGAAGGAUAGAGGCAGUAACUGGUCUUUAUUUGACGGUAAUCAACCAGAAAGUCACGGCUAACUACGUGCCAGCAGCCGCGGUAAUACGUAGGUGGCAAGCGUUGUCCGGAUUUAUUGGGCGUAAAGCGAGCGCAGGCGGAAUGAUAAGUCUGAUGUGAAAGCCCACGGCUCAACCGUGGAACUGCAUCGGAAACUGUCAUUCUUGAGUGCAGAAGAGGAGAGUGGAACUCCAUGUGUAGCGGUGGAAUGCG
This 663-nucleotide ribosomal RNA is filed under the name Lactobacillus delbrueckii subsp. lactis. RNAcentral's name for it is "bacterial SSU rRNA". It matches the Rfam family "Bacterial small subunit ribosomal RNA", at positions 57 to 690 of the family's 1533-position model. The record is from RNAcentral. Lineage: Bacteria; Bacillati; Bacillota; Bacilli; Lactobacillales; Lactobacillaceae.